UUCUUGGUCAUUUAGAGGAAGUAAAGGUCGUAACAAGGUUUCCGUAGGUGAACCUGCGGAAGGAUCAUUAAAGAAAUUUAAUAAUUUUGAAAAUGGAUUUUUUUGUUUUGGCAAGAGCAUGAGAGCUUUUACUGGGCAAGAAGACAAGAGAUGGAGAGUCCAGCCGGGCCUGCGCUUAAGUGCGCGGUCUUGCUAGGCUUGUAAGUUUCUUUCUUGCUAUUCCAAACGGUGAGAGAUUUCUGUGCUUUUGUUAUAGGACAAUUAAAACCGUUUCAAUACAACACACUGUGGAGUUUUCAUAUCUUUGCAACUUUUUCUUUGGGCAUUCGAGCAAUCGGGGCCCAGAGGUAACAAACACAAACAAUUUUAUCUAUUCAUUAAAUUUUUGUCAAAAACAAGAAUUUUCGUAACUGGAAAUUUUAAAAUAUUAAAAACUUUCAACAACGGAUCUCUUGGUUCUCGCAUCGAUGAAGAACGCAGCGAAAUGCGAUACGUAAUGUGAAUUGCAGAAUUCCGUGAAUCAUCGAAUCUUUGAACGCACAUUGCGCCCCUUGGUAUUCCAGGGGGCAUGCCUGUUUGAGCGUCAUUUCCUUCUCAAACAUUCUGUUUGGUAGUGGGUGAUACUCUUUGGAGUUAACUUGAAAUUGCUGGCCUUUUCAUUGGAUGUUUUUUUUCCAAAGAGAGGUUUCUCUGCGUGCUUGAGGUAUAAUGCAAGUACGGUCGUUUUAGGUUUUACCAACUGCGGCUAAUCUUUUUUUAUACUGAGCGUAUUGGAACGUUAUCGAUAAGAAGAGAGCGUCUAGGCGAACAAUGUUCUUAAAGUUUGACCUCAAAUCAGAUAGGAGUACCCGCUGAACUUAAGCAUAUCAAUAAGCGGAGGAA
RNAcentral lists this ribosomal RNA (882 nucleotides) under uncultured fungus. RNAcentral describes it as "eukaryotic LSU rRNA". The stretch from base 433 to 586 matches the Rfam family "5.8S ribosomal RNA". Lineage: Eukaryota; Fungi. The record is from RNAcentral.